CCUACGGGAGGCUGCAGUGAGGAAUAUUCGUCAAUGGACGAGAGUCUGAACCAGCCAAGUAGCGUGAAGGAUGACUGCCCUAUGGGUUGUAAACUUCUUUUAUAUGGGAAUAAAACAGGGUAUGCAUACCCUCUUGUAUGUACCGUAUGCAUACGGAUCGGCUAACUCCGUGCCAGCCGCCGCGGUAAUUCGGAGGCUCCGAGCGUUAGCCGGAUUUGUUGGGUUUAAAGGGAGGGGAGGUGGAUUGUUAAGGCAGUUGGUAAAGUUUGCGGCUAAACCGUAAGAUUGCAUUUGAAACUGGCAGUCUUGAGUACAGUAGAGGUGGGUGGAAUUCGAGGUGUAGCGGUGAAAUGCUUAGAUA
Molecule: ribosomal RNA, 361 nt
Filed under: uncultured bacterium
Lineage: Bacteria
Description: partial 16S ribosomal RNA
Rfam family: Bacterial small subunit ribosomal RNA
Source: RNAcentral